RNAcentral lists this ribosomal RNA (493 nucleotides) under uncultured bacterium. RNAcentral describes it as "bacterial SSU rRNA". It matches the Rfam family "Bacterial small subunit ribosomal RNA", at positions 28 to 507 of the family's 1533-position model. The record is from RNAcentral.
GAUNAACGCUAGCUACAGGCUUAACACAUGCAAGUCGAGGGGAAACGACAUCGAAAGCUUGCUUUUGAUGGGCGUCGACCGGCGCACGGGUGAGUAACGCGUAUCCAACCUGCCCACCACUUGGGGAUAACCUUGCGAAAGUAAGACUAAUACCCGAUGAUAUCCCUAGAAGACAUCUGAAAAGGGAUUAAAGAUUUAUCGGUGAUGGAUGGGGAUGCGUCUGAUUAGCUUGUUGGCGGGGUAACGGCCCACCAAGGCGACGAUCAGUAGGGGUUCUGAGAGGAAGGUCCCCCACAUUGGAACUGAGACACGGUCCAAACUCCUACGGGAGGCAGCAGUGAGGAAUAUUGGUCAAUGGGCGAGAGCCUGAACCAGCCAAGUAGCGUGCAGGACGACGGCCCUAUGGGUUGUAAACUGCUUUUAUAAGGGAAUAAAGUGAGUCUCGUGAGACUUUUUGCAUGUACCUUAUGAAUAAGGACCGGCUAAUUCCGUG